GAGACACCUUAUAAGGCAGGACUUACUUCAGUGGGGCUUUGGUGCUCACUGAGUCUGCCACUUGAGUGUGUCACU
Non-coding RNA from Myotis brandtii (Brandt's bat), 75 nucleotides. The record is from Rfam. NCBI's taxonomy places the organism in Eukaryota, Metazoa, Chordata, Mammalia, Chiroptera, Vespertilionidae.